RNAcentral lists this long non-coding RNA (373 nucleotides) under Nicotiana benthamiana. RNAcentral's name for it is "long non-coding RNA (NBEN_LNC024629)". Lineage: Eukaryota; Viridiplantae; Streptophyta; Magnoliopsida; Solanales; Solanaceae. The record is from RNAcentral.
GGAACCAAUAUAAAUUCUUACUCUUCCUUGAUUUAAGUUCCCAUGAAUAACAAUCAUCUUAUUGUAUCAAUAUUGACCCGCAAACAUGUAUAAUUCGUAUUAUAGUCCCAGGUACCAAACCUGGCAGUAGCACCUUUUCUUCUUCUUGCUUAGGACUUUGCCACUAUGAAGAGACGACCCAUUGACCGGCAAACAUAUACAACUCGUAUUAUAGUCCCAGGUACCAAACUUGGCAGUAGUAGCACCUUUUCUUCUUCUUGCUUAGGACUUUGCCACUCUGAAGAGACGACCUUCAGACAUACAAUGAGGUGACUAAAGGCGGUUAGAAUUGAAUUGUUACAUUUUUGCAUACAAGGCUAGGUUGUAGAACCUU